RNAcentral lists this ribosomal RNA (253 nucleotides) under uncultured bacterium. Its description in RNAcentral is "partial 16S ribosomal RNA". It matches the Rfam family "Bacterial small subunit ribosomal RNA", at positions 524 to 776 of the family's 1533-position model. The record is from RNAcentral.
UACAGAGGUCCCAAGCGUUGUUCGGAUUCAUUGGGCGUAAAGGGUGCGUAGGUGGCGCCGUAAGUGGGGUGUGAAAUUUCGGAGCUUAACUCCGAAACUGCAUUCCAUACUGCGGUGCUUGAGGACUGGAGAGGAGACUGGAAUUCAUGGUGUAGCAGUGAAAUGCGCAGAUAUCAGGAGGAACACCGAUGGCGAAGGCAGGUCUCUGGGCCGAUACUGACGCUGAGGAGCGAAAGCGUGGGGAGCGAACAGG